This 647-nucleotide long non-coding RNA is filed under the name Rattus norvegicus (Norway rat). Its description in RNAcentral is "long non-coding RNA NONRATT008875". The record is from RNAcentral. Lineage: Eukaryota; Metazoa; Chordata; Mammalia; Rodentia; Muridae.
AGAAAGUAUACGCGUUCCUCUUCCUGAAAGCGGCCAGAGGUGACCUGUGAAGGUGGUUCGCUACUCCCUCGACCCAGAAAACCCCACAAAAUCAUGCAAAUCAAGAGGUUCAAACCUUCGUGUUCACUUUAAGAAUACUCGGGAAACUGCCCAGGCCAUCAAAGGUAUGCAUAUCCGCAAAGCCACCAAGUAUCUGAAGGAUGUCACUUUAAAGAAGCAAUGUGUGCCAUUUGGCGGUAUAAUGGUGGAGUUGGUAGGUGCGCCCAGGCCAAACAGUGGGGCUGGACACAGGGACUGUGGCCAAAAAAGAGAGCUGAAAUUUCGCUGCACAUGCUCAAAACUGCAGAGAGUAAUGCUGAACCUAAGGGUUCAGAUGUAGAGUCUCUGGUCAUUGAACACAACCCGGGGAACAAGGCUCCUAAGAUGUGCCGAUGGAUCUACAGAGCUCAUGGCCGGAUUAACCCAUCCAUGAGCUCCCCUGCCACAUCGAGAUGACUCUCACUGAGAAGGAACAGAUUGUUCCAAAGCCAGAAGAGGAGGUUGCACAGAAGAAAAAGAUAUCCCAGUGGAAACUGAAGAAACAAAAACUCAUGGCAUGAAAUAAAUUCAGCAUAAAAUAAACGCAGAUAAAGUAAAAAAAAAAAAAG